Molecule: ribosomal RNA, 253 nt
Filed under: uncultured bacterium
Lineage: Bacteria
Description: partial 16S ribosomal RNA
Rfam family: Bacterial small subunit ribosomal RNA
Source: RNAcentral
GACGAACCGUGCGAACGUUGUUCGGAAUCACUGGGCUUAAAGGGCGCGUAGGCGGGCUGUCAAGUCUGGGGUGAAAUGCCGCGGCUCAACCGUGGAACUGCCUCAGAUACUGACGGCCUCGAGGAAGGUAGGGGCAUGCGGAACUGUAGGUGGAGCGGUGAAAUGCGUUGAUAUCUACAGGAACUCCGGUGGCGAAAGCGGCGUGCUGGACCUUUUCUGACGCUGAGGCGCGAAAGCUAGGGGAGCGAACGGG